This 3000-nucleotide long non-coding RNA is filed under the name Brassica napus (rape). RNAcentral describes it as "long non-coding RNA (BNAP_LNC004883)". Lineage: Eukaryota; Viridiplantae; Streptophyta; Magnoliopsida; Brassicales; Brassicaceae. The record is from RNAcentral.
UUAUUACCACCGACACUGAUCUCCCCGCGUUUCGAGAAGCUCCGGCGUUUCGAAACGGCAGAGAAUGCUUCAAAACGGUAUGGUCACCGGAGGAUCGCACACACAACCCUUCGAUCAUCCACAUCGCGAUGACUCUCGACGCCAUCUACCUCCGCGGCUCGGUCGCCGGAGUCUUCUCCGUUCUCCAGCACGCCUCUUGCCCCGAAAACGUCGUUUUCCACUUCAUCGCAACUCAACGCCGCAGCCCCGAUCUCCGCCGCAUAAUCUCCUCCACGUUCCCUUACUUAGAUCUACGCCAUCAGAAGAAGGAUCGAAAUCCACCACUAAUCAACGAAUCUCUCGGUACUGAUGGCGUCUCCUCCGACUUGUCUCGUCUUCCACCUCAGAAGAAGGAUCAAAACCCAUCACAAUCGACGACUCUCUCAGUCAUCACGGUGUCUCCUCUGUCGGUUCUCGUCUUCUACGACGUACGACGACUCUAUCAGUCUUCACGGCGUCUCCUCUUCUGGCGGGCGAUGUCUUCAGUUUGGAGAUCAGCUUCUGGUAAGUAUGUAACUUCCUCAUCUUUAUCGUCUGGAUUAGUGAUGCAUAUGCUUGUAUGUAGUUGUCUCGGGGUAUUGAUAGUCAUGAAUCAAGAUAUUAGUGUGCUUAAUUGUUGCCCUUUGAUUCAUGUAACCGAUGAAUUGUUUUACAUUUUGAAGCUUUCAGUUGAUUAAAUUGAAGCUUUCCUACGCAAUGUUGUGGUUUUGAUAAUUAUCAGAUAUUGCUGAUAGUCAUGCGUGUUUAUUUCUUCAAAGUUUGUGGUUUUACAGAUUUCACUUCCUUUUCUAUGUGUCAAUGGUGAAUAUUGUUGUGAUUGAAGGUGUUUUGCGUUUGAAUUUUCAAGUUAAGGUUUGUCUCUUUAGGAUUUCAAUUUAGUUAGAUAUGUGACAGGAGAAAGCAUGGUAUCAAUUUUGAAUUGUUUUGUGCUUGAAUUUCAUAUGAAGUAGGUUAUCAUAUGUAUUGUCUACUUAACUUCUGUGCUCCAAUGUAAUAUGAAUUUAUUUUUCUAUUUCAGUGCUAGUGGUGGUUGAGGGCAAAGUGAACAGGCUAGUCUAACACAUCCAGUUCUGUGAGACUGUUGGUGAGGUAAGUCUGCAAAACUCUAUAUCAUUUUCUUGCUUUCGUUAUGGAUAAUAGGUAGGUUAAUGAAUGCGUCUGAUGAAAGCUUGUUAGAGUUAGGAUAUGGUUAGUCAAUGCUUGUGAUAAAUGCUUGUUUUAGUAGUUAGUUUAAUGAAUGCUUGUGAUGAAUGGUUGUUUUAGUGAUGCAUUAGGAUAUGGUUAGGUAAUAAAUAAGUUAGAUACAUGUCUACUCAGCUCAACUCUAUUCAAAUCAAAGACUAAAGACAAUUAAAACACCUGUAUCUAACAACAUCUUCAUCUUCCAACAGUAUGUAUGUUUCAAGUUUCAUAAUGUAUGUUUCAAGUUUAUGUGAUCUGUUCUGUGUGAAAUGUGAGACAAAGAAACUCAAGUUUAUGCAAAGCAAGAGUAGUCCUAAGUUUCUGUUCUUGUAUAAUUAUAUAAAUACUUGCUCUUGUGUUCUUUGUCCCAUGUUCUUAUCUUGGUAUUUCAGGUCCAAAAGAGUGUUCUUGUCUUGAUGGAGUUAAAGUAAUCAGGUAAUGGGACCACUCAUUGUCAUCAGAGGCACGUAGCAUGCUAUGUUUCAAACGGAUACAAUACAUGACACUGAUAGUAAUGAAUGUUCCCGCUAUCAUAUUGAGGUUAUCUUCUAAGAAUGGCAUUGACAUUGGCAUCGAGACGAUCAAGUAAGGUUUUCUUGUUUAUGAUUCUUCUUCUUGAGUAAGUGAUCUUCUUCAAUUUUUUUUUAACGCUGGAUAAUUAUGCUAUUACAACUAUGAGAAUUAUUACAGAUGAUUCUACAGCUGACAAUUCUACAUGUGGUAUGAGGAUUCACGCCUUACUGCAUCACCUAAAUCGCCUUAUCGAAUCCACGAUUAACGGUAUUCCUUGCGCCAUGUUGUAGAUCUCUUGUAAUCAUUUUUCAUUUAAUUCGCAUAAUUCCGCCUUCUGUGGGAAUUGAAAUCCAAACCUCCUCGUGUAGAAGCAUUAAUAAACCCUUGGUCAAACCACGAGACCAAGGGGACUUCCAUAAUCUUCUUCAAUUCUUCUAAAAAGUUUAACUUUUUAAGAACCUUUAAUUAAAAAACUCUGAAACCGUUCAAAAUAAAAGUUUAUUAACUAGAGUUCUUAAGUUUACUUAAGUACAUUUAUAUAAUUAAAUAAUUAUUAAGAAAUCCAAAUGGGUUUCAUGAGAUAAUCAUGCCCUAAUACUUAUGCCACUUUCAUUUAGUUACGUUUAUGCUUAAUUAACGCGUAUCUCUGCCAGGUUGGCUCUCUAGACAAUAUCUGCCCCAUAAUUAUUGUAAAUAUCCAAAAAAUACUAACUACUUUACAUCAAUAAAAAUAUUCUAUAAUACAAGUGACGACAAAUUAACAAUUAAUAACGCUUGCCAUUAACGAAACUUGUCUGAAAAUGUCGAAACUACCCCUAAUCCGCGAUUAACAAUUUAACAAAGACACAAAAAGCCGGUUCUCUCUUUCACACUCUUGUCUUCACUCAGACACUCAGUUCAAAACUCAAAAAGUGUCGGCAAUGUGUUUACGUUUAUGUCUGUUUCUGCUGUUUCCAAUCGCGAUUAGCAGCGUUAUUACCACCGACACUGAUCUCCCCGCGUUUCGAGAAGCUCCGGCGUUUCGAAACGGCAGAGAAUGCUUCAAAACGGUAUGGUCACCGGAGGAUCGCACACACAACCCUUCGAUCAUCCACAUCGCGAUGACUCUCGACGCCAUCUACCUCCGCGGCUCGGUCGCCGGAGUCUUCUCCGUUCUCCAGCACGCCUCUUGCCCCGAAAACGUCGUUUUCCACUUCAUCGCAACUCAACGCCGCAGCCCCGAUCUCCGCCGCAUAAUCUCCUCCACGUUCCCUUACUUAGCCUUCC